Long non-coding RNA from Labrus mixtus (cuckoo wrasse), 6810 nucleotides. RefSeq lists it as uncharacterized. The record is from RefSeq and is a predicted model, not a curated record. NCBI's taxonomy places the organism in Eukaryota, Metazoa, Chordata, Actinopteri, Labriformes, Labridae. The transcript has 2 exons.
CAUUAAAUCCUCCAUUUCCCGUAUCCAUUUUUUUUAAUCAGCUCAAUUCGCUGGCUUUGAGGCACAGCUGCAGAAUCUAAAAUUUAAACCUUUCAGAAGCCCUGACAUUUCUAGGUUCUUCCAGAGAAAGUGGACACAAAGAAGGACAUCCACAGAGUCACGGACGUAAACAUUGGUUUGGAACUGAAUGUUUUCUCCCUGUACUGCAUAUCUUCUAUUUAGAUCUCAGCGAAGGUUCACUCGGUGCACCCAGCAGCUUCCUUGUUGCAUUUUAUGGCCAAGUGAACCCACUGCAAACACAUUUAACCAAACAACUUAAAUGGAUUUGGCCAAAACCUUUUAGUCAAACACUCACACGCUGAUGGAAUGCAGCCGGCUAUUUAACCUGUAAACAGAGGAAUUACUUUAAGAGCUGCCGUGGACAGGCAGAGGCCGGGGGAGAAGGAAGAAAAGACGCCGGGCGAAACAUUGAUGCAUGCGCACGGCGAGACGAUCAUCUGGUAUGAAUAACUAAAUUAGAAAUAAGUCAGUAGAAGCUAGAGAGAUGACGAAUACUAGGAAAGAGAAGAAAAAAAAACAUGAUGAAUAAAAAAACCAAACCCCCCUGAUGAAAGCUCUGAAAAAGAGAUAGGAGAUGAAAAUAUUCUGGAGUCUUCGGCCCCCAUGAGGCCAGACAGCAAUUAGCGUGCCCGCUAUUUCUGCUUGACGAGUGAGCGCCCCCAUACAAAGCUGCUCUAAAAAUGGGGUGCUGGAAUCGAAUACACAAGACGAGGAGAGAUACAUUUUUUCUUAGCGUAUUUUCCAGUCCAGAUAAUAAACAUAAUAUUGCAUUGUCCUCUAAUUAUGAUGCCAGAAAUGUUGCAUAACGGCAAACACAUGGUUUGUUUUCUGAGUGCUCAUGGUAGAGAUCAUUCUACACAUGAUGGACCAUGGACAAAAUUAACCUAAAUUUGCAAAUAUCUAGGGCAGUUUUCAUUUUUUUCUCAAGUUUCUUUGAGCUCAAAAGAUUUUUUUUACCAGUUUACAAUUUUUUUACUGAUCAUUGAUUGAGUUUCCAUUUGAACCCUUCUAACAGAGCCACCUCCUGCCUUUUCUUUUCAAAGUGUGGUGCAGACUGUGCUUGACACUGCACACACAUGCAUCAGACACAUUGUAAUUAUUGAGGCAUUUUAAACACAGGGCUGGCUCAGCUGACGGAGAACAUCAAAGCCGAGGCUGGAGCUGAGUGACUGGUCCCGAGCACUGCAGAUUCACAUACCCGCUGCACACUCACUCAAAAAUGAUAACAGAACUGCCUCUACCUCAGACGAGAGCAGAGGCAAGCAAACAUGUUGGAAGAAGAAGAAGAAGAAGGGGGGGGGGGGAGUGAUGAGGCAGAGGGAUAGCCCCUCCUUACUGCUGUAAAAGCAGGAGGAAGAAAAAAAAAAAGAAACAGGAGGAAAAAAAAAAGAGAGGAAGAAAGGAAAUCGCAGCCAUACGGGCUGUGCUCCCCCAGCUGAACUGUAUCUGCAUUUUAACGGUGGGAAGAAGAGACGCUAUAUGGCGAGGUGCUCCUCCCUCCACCCUGCCAACCUCAUCUGUCAGCCAUUAGUUAAUCAGGGCUGGUAAUGCAGAGCGCACAGAGAGCUGGCACCGCUCGUGGGACCAGAGGACAGCUUCACCUCUGAGAGCAAAGAGAGGGCAAGGACUCAGGGACCUCUGCGGCACCGGGCUACAGCUGGGUGGCUUCACUCACCAGCACCCACUCAGUAUUAACGUCUUUGUCUAGGAUUGGACUGGCUGUAACUUCAACAUGACCCCACCCACCGCUUUGCCCGUGAACAGGUGAGCCAAUAGGACACGUGGAAACUUUUAGACAUCUAAGAGAAUCUCAACUAGCAUUUUAAGAUCUGUCACUCGGCCAAAAUGGCAAUCAAAGCAGCUCGUACAGCACAGAACCUCACAGAGAGAAGGUAAAUUCCACAAAACCAACACUUUGGCUCAGAUCAGAUCUGCUUUGUGUUGAAUGUGUUUUAUCACUGAUCACUUUAACCCUCGAGCAGUGUAUGGAAACACUCAUUACUGUAAGAACUAUAAUUAUGCUAUAAAAGUCUUUUUGGUUGGGGAUAACAUCAGAACUGAGUGUUGUUGUGAAAACAACAGUUUAUUUUGGGAGCUUGGCCAUCAAAAACCUUAUUAACAUCAUAAUUAAGUUUUGACAAACGUCAUAUUUUGCAAGAUCAGUGAUGAAGACAUUGUUUGCUUAACAUUUACGUCUAACAUGAUGGUUUAUUUCAUUUCAGCCUUCUUAAUUAAAAUUAUGCUUUUUUGCAAAAUAUUGAAAAUAAAUCUGCAAUUAGGAUUUAGCAAAGUUUGUAAUACACCAUAUAGGUUUAGAAAAGAGGAUGCAUUGUGAAGUACGAAUCAAAGGCUUCUAAGAGGCAAGUUAAGACCCCAAAUCAGACAGUUUUGGUGUGUUUUUUUUUCACACUUCGUGGAUCUAACUGAGGCCAUAUCUUAAAAUGUGAGAGCCAAGGUCGAAUUCCGAUCACAUUGCAGCACGUUUGCAAUGCAAGACGUUGGUAAUACCAAGCAUAUGGUAACUGUAGCUACAUGGACUCUUCAAAGGAGCUCAGUGCUGACCCGGAGCAAGAACAAACUUGCAUGAGUGUGAAGGGAGUGUAGAAUUAUACCCUGGGCUGCAUGUUGUCAAGGCUGAGAGAUACAUAGCCAAAAGAUAGCUGCUCUUUAUGUUUAACAAUGCUUGUGCAAAAUCAGCUUUUUUUUUUUUAUCUAGGGAUCAAACCCAGCAAAGGAGAAGGAGUAAUAUUUGGGAACAGAGUGCACUGUUUGAUAGCUUUAUUUCUUUUUUCAUAGCGUCAUCAUCAGUAUCACAAUGUUCUCUGGAUCAUAGAUUAAACUGCAAAUCAGAGAAAAAAGGAGACAUGAGGGAGGAGGGUGAAGGGUCUUGUAACAUUCAGGCUGCUUUCUCUGUUCAUAGGCUUGUUUUGCAGGGAGGAUUCAAAGACAGAAGUCAAAACAACACAUGUUGUCAACAUGGGAGCAGCUGGUAAGAGCGGCGUCAUGGGGCAGAGGAAUGUCAAGAGUCAUAGAUCUUUUAUCCAUCAGGCUGCAAUAACCACCCAGAAAGCACACUCAGAAGCAGUGUGAAAACUGUUUUUAUAUUUCAGACUCAUCUAAUGAUCAACUUAACCAGCUAACUUUAUCCUUAAACUCUAAACAAAAGAACAAAUUCAAUGAAACAUUAUGCAAGUAUGUAAGUGUAGUUUUAACAGUGAAGUGAUGCAUUUCAGAUGUGACAAGUUGGUUUUUCAAUUUUAUUCUCUGCAGGAUGGGACUGAUUGUAAUAUAUGGAAAUAAUUUCCUGUCUCUGUCACUUCAGUGCCUGACAGUCAGUCAGCUGCAGGAGCUGCAGCCCCUCUUCUGAUUGGCUAAAACUAAACAGCAUAUUCUGCACUCCAUGCCAAAGUUUGACUUUGCCAUCUUUAAAGCGGUAAAUAAACACUCAGUUGAGUAGGCAUAUACAGUUUCUCCAACAUGAUUUCCUUUUCAAGUCAACUGCACUCAGUAAAGAUACACCAAGCGACCAUAAGUCAAAACCAAAUGACAAAACAGCCAGGUUUUUUUUUUUCCGACUGUGUAAACAUUCCACUGAGAGCUUUUUCCGUGACUGUGUUCUACUGAAACCUGCAGCUCUGCUCACAUCAGUACGCUGCUGCAGGUGAGGAAGAUGAGGAACACGACAGAAAAGAAGGGGAAAAAAAGCAAAUUCUAAAUGACAGGUCUUGAAAAAUACAAACAGCAGCAGAGCCGUAACGUUAUAAAGUAUUGACCUUUGACAGAGGACAUUUAAACCUGACUUCCUCUUCCUGCUAAACGUUAAACAGCUGCUUUUCUAAUCUGUCAAAGUAAACAGCUUGUCCCAGCUUGCAUAUGGGGGGAAUAUGGAAAAGCUCAAGAGAGUGGAAGAUCAUGACCUCGCAUUUAUUUUUACAGAAAACAAAAGCAUAGAAAUGGUAACCAAACAAUGUAAGUAUAAUGAUAAAUUAUUUUUUAAUGGGAAAGAAGGAAACAGAGGAAAAUCUAAAAUUAUAUCCACAGGCAGAGGACUAUUUGUAAUAUAAAAUGUUUAAGUGUAAAUAUCAGACUUUUUCAAAAUGGUAAUGCGUUUCAAAUCUUACUUUGCAUUUUGAGAAACUUAAUAGAUAAAAAAAUAUUCUAUUAUAUUGGAAAAAACUGAAGCACAGCAAUGACUCUGAGGCUGUCUAAGACGCCCAUCACAAAGACAAGUUGUGGAUUUAAAAAAGACUUUACAAACAGGGCGGAUUCUUCUGUAGGCCUACAGAGUUCACAAUGGUGGACACUAGAACAAGAAAAGAUUCUGUCUUUAACAUUCCCCCUCUCUGACACUUAGAGGAGUCCUAAAUGCAUGAUGCACUGUUUAGUAAUGUAAUGCAAAAUACAGCAUUAUUAUGUCAUUUUAAUGAAUGACAAUGAAAAUUGGAUAGAAAGCUUCACUCAAUACUAAGAAUAGAAAAAUACAAGAAAAGUUACUACUGAAGACAAAACCCCAACACAAAAUGUCUUCCUAAAACACCUUUUUAAGAAAACUGCAUUUAAAAUAAUCCUUAAUAUUUAGAGCUUCAGUUUCUCAAAUAGGAGGAUUUGCUGGUUUUCUUUGUCUUACUUCUUUGGGAUUUAAACUCAUGGCAGAAAAAAACCCCAGAAUCUUACAUCGGACUUUGGAGAAAGUAAAAGGUUUCUUUGUUGGAUUUUUAGAAUGUUUAAAUAGUGCAACUGACAUCCUUGAAGUUCCGGACAUUUGCGGACCAGUUGCCCCGCUAACAUGAUCCAAAGAAUCAGGUCUGAUAGGUAGUAGCUAAUUAGCAGUUUAACAGCACAGGUACUCAAAUAGUACAAAACAAGUAGAGCUAAAUGUCUUAAGCAGUGUAGCAAAUACAUUACACACUAGAGCUUAAAAGAUGGACUGUUGAUUCCCUGAUUCUUAAACACCCAAUCUAUCACUGUCUAACCCUCAAGAGGGGAAAAAGGUUUUUGACUUGGAUGUCAUGUCCCCACAAACUCCUUUUCACUCCAUCACCUCGAUAGCAUCGACAGGCCCAAACAGGCACCGGCCCCAUCCAGUCUGAAGUGGUCGCCUCAUGUGAGGAAAAAAAAAAUACUCCAAGAGGCUUAAAACCACUUUGUAAUACUUGACCGACAAGCUGAGGAAAAGCAGGCCGUCUUUACCUGAGUCAAAGCGAGGACAUGUUCACUAUCAUUUGAUGAAACCAACCUAAAUGCUUCCAGACUUUCACGCCCUGUCUCCUCUUAUUUCAUCUCCCUGCAUCUGCAAGCAACUCAGAACACAAAAUAACAUGUAGCCUAAUGACACGGGCUCCUCUUUCUUCCAAUGCCCUGCAUAGAAAAUUCAAUUUAGUUUGGCGUCCAUGUCUUGAAAUGGCCUAAUGAACUCUUGAUUUAUCCAAUUGGCCUCAAUCUUGGUUAGCGUAAAGACCUAGAGAUGAACAUUUUGUCAGCUCUUGUACAAUCCUAAAUAAAAUGUCCUCUAAAUUGUGUGACAAAUGAAGUUCUGUUCUGAGGGGCUAAGUAUAGUUUAACAGUCAUUAAACUUGGAUCGUGUAUCCCAAUUGGGGGGAUUAGGACUUCAAUAUGGAGUUUAGAUUUUGGCAAAGCUAACUGGCCUCAAGGCGCCCCCUACAAAAAACAAAACAAACAUAAUGUCCCAGUUUAUUUAACCAUGAUUUACAGAGUUAAAUCCCCAAAUGUAUCAUAUUAAGCCUAACAGAAAAGCCUCCUCGACCAAACAAGAAGUAUGGGGUUAUGAAUUCUUUUGAGAGGAUCAUUGUAGUUUUAGCCAUGAACAGUGGUCAUACUUUAACAAAACUUCAUCUACAGUGUUUUAAGUCCAUAUAAAACUUGAUUUACUUGGAGAAAAACUACUUUAACUACUUCCUAAGGUGCAAUUAUUUCAUUAGUAUGUUUAUGUAAGUGCUGACAUAGACAACCUAUAUUAGAAUGUGCAGAGUGCUGAACUUAUUUUCCUGCCAGCCAACAACUUGACCCAAAAGAGACUCCCAUUCUCCCAAAUAUAGUAAAUCUUCAUAUAACAUCUCACACCAUCUGGUUUUCUGCUUUCCAAGUCUUAAUGGUUUGCUAAAAUCUGCGGCCCACAGCGCUUGACUUUUAACCAGCAAAUCAUCAACUCAAUUUUGCUUUGCUUGCUUUUUUUCCUCAAAGGCCAGAAUGAAACAUUAUCUCACGACUCAGAUUAAGAUUAGAACCAUUCCUUGAAAGGACCAACAGGGGGGGAGAAGAACCUUCCAGCGCUCGGUUCAAUUGCUAACACUCCACUGGCAUAUGGGCAGGAUCACGAAACACAAGCCCAAUGAUGUCACGACCGAGUGACCCCAGGGUGACAGGUUUGGAGAAUGUUCGUGCCCACUGCCCUCAGGCCAGUGUCAAGUAUGUCAAUGUUGUGCAUGUGGAUUUCAUUUCAAGCAGCAUGAUUAGUUCACAGACACUCGACUGUGAUCCCCCUCCAUGGGAAAGCCGCUCUGGACAGGAAACGGUAUGUUUUUGUUAGCAACAAACAGGCAUAAAUUACUCAAAUGGUGCCCUGGUUGCUAAUUCAUCACACACAGCCUUAUUAUUUCUGCUUUUUCACAUUUGACAUCAACAUUGCUUUUAAGGAAAUCACCUUUAGGUAAUGAUAUUUACAUUCCUGAUAGUGUGUGUUGAACUCUGUGCCUGCAAUGCUUCAUUUGUGCAAUAAAUCUGAUAAUUGUU